Molecule: ribosomal RNA, 442 nt
Filed under: uncultured bacterium
Lineage: Bacteria
Description: partial 16S ribosomal RNA
Rfam family: Bacterial small subunit ribosomal RNA
Source: RNAcentral
CCUACGGGCGGCAGCAGUGGGGAAUCUUCCGCAAUGGGCGAAAGCCUGACGGAGCAACGCCGCGUGAUCGAAUGAAGGCCUUCGGGUUGUAAACUUCUUUUGUCAGGGAAGAGUAGAAGACGGUACCUGACGAAUAAGCCACGGCUAACUACGUGCCAGCAGCCGCGGUAAUACGUAGGUGGCAAGCGUUGUCCGGAUUUACUGGGUGUAAAGGGCGUGUAGCCGGGUUGACAAGUCAGAUGUGAAAUCCUGCGGCUUAACCGCAGAACUGCAGUUGAAACUGUUGAUCUUGAGUACUGGAGAGGCAGAUGGAAUUCCUAGUGUAGCGGUGAAAUGCGUAGAUAUUAGGAGGAACACCAGUGGCGAGGCGGUCUGCUGGACAGCAACUGACGGUGAGGCGCGAAAGCGUGGGGAGCAAACAGGAUUAGAUACCCUAGUAGUC